AAUGUGGGCCGCUGUCACGUGUGGGCCCGGCGACACGUGUCCAUCAACGAGUGGAUGCACCCAAUAUUUUCUCACUUUGGCGCAGAAAAUUGGCGUAGAAAAUAAGCAUUUAGAAAAGAUGGGCGCGUCUUCACUUUUUGUUUGGUCAUAUUUUUUAUUUUUUUUGGUCAAAGUUUGGUCAUAUUGGACGAUCAAUUUGUUUAGCAAUCAGUGGCCCCAAACCCCCACAAACCACCAGGGCCGGUUGUCCCGCUCGCCAGUCGCCACCCAGAUCCGGUGCCGGGUUUAGCCACUCUAGUUGAGUCGCUGUGUUGCCGUUGAUCGAGGUCGUCGACAAGCUCUCACUGCUCCGUUGCAACGCGCUCGAGGCGUCUUUACGUCCCAGAUUUGUCGUUGUGCUGGGGCUCGUCUCUUCGGACCCAGUCUUGAUUAAACCGACGGAAGUUCCCAGGUCACUUUUCAGCAACAAUGGCAUUCAAAAUCUACACUGGGUUCGUGUCUGCACUCUUCUUGAAUGCGCUCUUUGUCAGUCAAGCCAUGGAAUACGGUCAUUCCAAAGCCUUUCCGAAUAUAAGUUGCAUUGAUGCUGAGAGGGAGGCUCUUAUGAAGUUCAAGCAGGAUCUCACCGAUCCUUCAAGACGUCUGCAGUCAUGGAUCGGUGAGGGUUGUUGCGAGUGGGAAGGAGUUGAAUGCAGCGAGAAGACAGGCCGCGUCAUGAAGCUCGAUCUUCGUAAUCCCUGUGAUGGCUUAGAGUGUAGCCUGGGAGGUAAGAUACAUCCUGCUCUAAACAACCUGAAGGAUUUGAAGUAUCUAGACCUUAGCUUCAAUAAUUUUUCAACCCAAGGAAUCCCAAAGUUCUUAGCUUCUCUUAAAAAACUGGAGUAUCUCAACCUCUCAUCUGCAGGCUUCUAUGGACAUGUUUCCAGUCAACUUAGUAACCUUUCCAGCGUACGGUACUUGGAUCUUAGUAAUUUGUGGUGGUGGCCCUCUAUUAAAAUAGAAAACCUCCGGUGGCUUUCGACAUUUUCUAAGUUGAAGUACUUGGACCUGUCUUAUGUUCCCCUUCCCAACUCCAAAGAAUGGUUAAGUCCUAUCAACAUGCUUUCCUCCCUGGAGUUUCUGAUAUUGAAGGGAUGUAAUUUGGAAGAUGUUUCAUCCUCUUUGCAUGUCAAUUUCACUUCUCUUAGAUUCCUUGAUCUGAGUCACAACUCCAUGAAUUCAUUUGUUCCUCCUUGGUUUCAAAACUUGAGCAAACUCGAACAUCUUGAUUUAAGUUUUAAUAAUCUCCAAGGCAUAUUCCCCACCGAUAUCCUUGAAAAUAGUCGAUGGCUUAGAUUCCUUGAUGUCUCUAAGAAUAGGCUGGAGGGUGAACUUCUGAAAAACAUGAGCGAUUUCUGCAACCUGCAAGUACUGAACUUGCGUUCUAACAAAUUUAGUGGGAGGAUUUCGGAUACCAAAGACGGUGCUUUGAUUUGUGGACGAAGUUACAUGAAGACUAUUGAUGUUUCCGGCAACAAUUUCAGUGGUCGCCUACCCAAUCAAUUUGGGGAUUUCAAAGAUCUUGAAUUCCUUGAUCUCUCAUGGAACUCUAUUUCAGGUCCUAUACCCGCUACUGUGGGCCAACUAUCAUCUCUGAAAAAAUUGUACCUCUCUUCUAACAAAUUGAGUGGGAACAUUCCAGAAAGUGUUGGGCGACUAUCCAAUCUAGAGGUGAUGGACAUUCGUAAUAAUCAAUUGGAUGGAGUUGUCAGCGAACUUCACUUUGCCAAUCUCAGUAGCUUGACCGUGUUGAACUUUUAUUUGAAUGAGCUUGUUGUAAAUGUUAGCACAUCUUGGGUUCCUCCUUUCCAGAUUCAAGUGAUUUUCAUGUCCAAUUGCAAAGUGGGACCACAAUUCCCAAGCUGGCUUCGAAUGCAAAGGAACAUUUCGGUAUUGUACAUGUCAAAUGCUAGCAUCUCAGAUGAAGUUCCUUAUUGGCUACCUGAAGUUUUAUCCAACACUAAACGACUGGAUCUUUCCGGCAACAUGCUCAGAGGCAACAUAUCCCGAAUUAUUGGAAAGAAGAUGCCACUGUUAAGGCUGGUGUCACUUUCUGGAAAUAACCUCGGUGGUGGCAUUCCAAAUUCAUUAUGCAUGUCUGAUGAAUUGUCUUUUCUUGAUCUCUCCAAGAACCAGCUUUCUGGGAGACUUCCGCAAUGUUGGAGGAAGUCGCAAGCAAAUUUGGAGUGGAUUUCAUUGGGAGACAACAAGUUAAAUGGUCAGAUUCCAGACUCUCUAUGCCAUCUGGAGCGAUUAGGAGUUCUAGGCCUACAUGAAAAUGGCUUGAACGGAGUGCUUCCAAAAUGUUUACUAAAGCUAGAUUUGGUAAACCUCGAUCUCAGUGACAAUCAAUUCACUGGUAGAAUACCUCCAUUUGGACAACAUUCUCGAUCAUUGAGGACAAUCGAUCUUGCGAGAAAUUACUUCAAUGGGGACAUUCCUUUGCAGCUAUGCCAUCUUGUUAAUCUCCAGUAUUUAAACCUAGCACAUAACAACCUAUCCGGAGGCAUUCCUCAUUGUUUCAACAACUUCACGCAGAUGUGGGCCAACUCCACUUUUACUCCGUAUGGGAGGUUCCCGUUGGGGUUUUCUAUUAUGGUUAAUAUAAAAGGAAAGAGCCUAGAAUACACCACCUCGCUCCGUUAUUUAUUUUCCAUUGACCUUUCAAGCAAUGCAUUGGAUGGAGAAAUACCAAAAGGGCUGACUAGGCUGGCUCGACUUCAGAAUUUGAACCUCUCUCAAAAUAAGUUGAUUGGAGAAAUCCCUUCAGAUAUUGGCAACUUGAGAGAUUUAGAAUCACUGGAUCUAUCCAAUAACAAGCUAUCGGGUGAAAUCCCUCCUAGCAUAUCCAAUUUAGACUUUCUAAGUCAUUUGGAUCUUUCCUUCAACAAUUUAUUUGGUCCUAUUCCAUCGGGCAAUCAUCUAAGCACUCUGGACAAUCAAUCUGUUUAUCGUGGCAAUGAUGAACUUUGCGGAGCUCCUCUUUUGAAAGUUUGUCCUGGAAAUGAGCAUAAUGAUAUGGACAGACGAGAUAGUUACAAUACGAGUGAAGAUGAGUCUAAAAAAGGCUACUCUGUUGUUUGGUUUUACUCAAGAUUGGGAGUGGGUUUCCCGGUGGUAUUCUUGGGAUUUUGUGGCAUAUUACAUAUCUUCCCCUAUUUUCGGCGGAAGAUUCGAUUGUCGAAAAAUUGUCGAUCGCGAGAGUAAUUACCAUGCUUUGGUUCAAGAGAGGUUGUCAAUUCACACUACGCAUAUAAGAAGUUAUUUAAUUGCUGCUAAAGCUUCAAGUAAUAAGGAAAUGCGCACUAUUCUCCAACAUUUCUUUCUUUCUUUCCAAUUGUCAGUACUAAAAUGGUGCUCAGGCACACUAAACACAGGUUUCUUUCUUCAUCUGGGAUAAAAAAUUGACGCUUCCCAAUCUAAUGGGACUGAAUAUCUAUGUUUGACAGUGCGAAUUGCCUAUUGCUUUACUGUCGGUAGCUUUAUAUCAACUGCAAUUAUUUUUUUCCACUUAGUGGGGAGCCCAUAAAGUUACCAUUUUUUCAUUCCUCUCUGUUUUCUUCUUCUUUAUCAUGAAGGAAUUACAGAUUUUUAACUUCUAGAAUUGAAACAAAUGAGAAGGGUCUCUUGACCGUUCGCGGCGAUAUUUUGUUUAGAAGUCUAAAGAAAAAAAAA
RNA transcript from Syzygium oleosum, 3714 nucleotides. It is a transcript of the gene named receptor-like protein EIX1, with no coding region annotated. Lineage: Eukaryota; Viridiplantae; Streptophyta; Magnoliopsida; Myrtales; Myrtaceae. The record is from RefSeq and is a predicted model, not a curated record. The transcript is spliced from 3 exons.